This 497-nucleotide ribosomal RNA is filed under the name uncultured bacterium. Its description in RNAcentral is "partial 16S ribosomal RNA". It matches the Rfam family "Bacterial small subunit ribosomal RNA", at positions 28 to 507 of the family's 1533-position model. The record is from RNAcentral.
GAUGAACGCUGGCGGCGUGCCUAAUACAUGCAAGUCGAGCGAACAGACGAGGAGCUUGCUCCUCUGUCGUUAGCGGCGGACGGGUGAGUAACACGUGGAUAACCUACCUAUAAGACUGGGAUAACUUCGGGAAACCGGCGCUAAUCCCGGAUAAUAUAUUGAACCGCAUGGUUCAAUAGUGAAAGACGGUUUUGGUGUAUCUUAUAGAUGGAUCCGCGCCGCAUGAGCUAGUUGGGAAGGUAACGGCUUACCAAGGCAACGAUGCGUAGCCGACCGGCGAGGGUGAUCGCCGACACUGGAAGGUAGACAGGGUCCAUGGUCCUACGAGAGGCAGCAGUAGGGAAUGUGCCGCAAUGGGCGAAAACCUGACGGAGCGACGCGGCGUGAGUGAUGAAGGUCCUCGGAGCGUAAAGCUCGGUUAUUAGGGAAGAACAAAUGUGGAAGUAACUAUGCACGUAUUGACGGUACCUAAUCAGAAAGCCACGGCUAACUACGUG